This 233-nucleotide unclassified non-coding RNA is filed under the name Hevea brasiliensis (rubber tree). The record is from RNAcentral. Lineage: Eukaryota; Viridiplantae; Streptophyta; Magnoliopsida; Malpighiales; Euphorbiaceae.
CGCACACACUCUCACGCGGAGACGCAUUUUAACAUACAUACAUUACUACUGUACCUUCCCCUCCUUUUGGAUUCUCCGGAUCCUCUACUCCGGUCAGUAGAUCUCCCGAUUGACAACUCCGACUCCAGAAUAGUAUCAAACACUUUGAUCACAUAAGCAAAACCAAUGGCAACCAGCACGAUCCGCAAAGCGAUCGGCGCCGUAAAAGAUCAAACAAGCAUAAGCAUAGCCAA